RNAcentral lists this ribosomal RNA (411 nucleotides) under Ischnocnema parva. Its description in RNAcentral is "partial 16S ribosomal RNA". It matches the Rfam family "Bacterial large subunit ribosomal RNA", at positions 1846 to 2472 of the family's 2925-position model. Lineage: Eukaryota; Metazoa; Chordata; Amphibia; Anura; Brachycephalidae. The record is from RNAcentral.
UAAGAGGUCCAGCCUGCCCAGUGACUCUAGUUCAACGGCCGCGGUAUCCUGACCGUGCGAAGGUAGCGUAAUCACUUGUCUUUUAAAUUGAGACUAGUAUGAAAGGCACCACGAGAAUUAAACUGUCUCCUUUUUCUAAUCUGUGAAACUGAUCCCCCCGUGAAGAAGCGGGGAUUUUGAUAUAAGACGAGAAGACCCUAUGGAGCUUCAGACAAAUAACAAUGCCCUCCUCUUUUUUUCUAAAAAAUACCCGAGCAUCUUAAUUAUUUAGUCUUAGGUUGGGGCGACCAUGGAGUAAAAAUCACCCUCCAUGCUGAACAGGACCUCCUUAAAUAAGAGUAACAACUCUAAGAAUCAAUAAAUUGACACAUUUGACCCAAUUACUUGAUCAACGAAACAAGUUACCCUAGG